Molecule: ribosomal RNA, 732 nt
Filed under: uncultured Bacteroidales bacterium
Lineage: Bacteria; Pseudomonadati; Bacteroidota; Bacteroidia; Bacteroidales
Description: bacterial SSU rRNA
Rfam family: Bacterial small subunit ribosomal RNA
Source: RNAcentral
GCAAGUCGAGGGGCAGCAUGGUCUUAGCUUGCUAAGGCUGAUGGCGACCGGCGCACGGGUGAGUAACACGUAUCCAACCUGCCGUCUACUCUUGGCCAGCCUUCUGAAAGGAAGAUUAAUCCAGGAUGGCAUCAUGAGUUCACAUGUCCGCAUGAUUAAAGGUAUUUUCCGGUAGACGAUGGGGAUGCGUUCCAUUAGAUAGUAGGCGGGGUAACGGCCCACCUAGUCAACGAUGGAUAGGGGUUCUGAGAGGAAGGUCCCCCACAUUGGAACUGAGACACGGUCCAAACUCCUACGGGAGGCAGCAGUGAGGAAUAUUGGUCAAUGGGCGAUGGCCUGAACCAGCCAAGUAGCGUGAAGGAUGGCUGCCCUAUGGGUUGUAAACUUCUUUUAUAAAGGAAUAAAGUCGGGUAUGCAUACCCGUUUGCAUGUACUUUAUGAAUAAGGAUCGGCUAACUCCGUGCCAGCAGCCGCGGUAAUACGGAGGAUCCGAGCGUUAUCCGGAUUUAUUGGGUUUAAAGGGAGCGUAGAUGGAUGUUUAAGUCAGUUGUGAAAGUUUGCGGCUCAACCGUAAAAUUGCAGUUGAUACUGGAUGUCUUGAGUGCAGUUGAGGCAGGCGGAAUUCGUGGUGUAGCGGUGAAAUGCUUAGAUAUCACGAAGAACUCCGAUUGCGAAGGCAGCCUGCUAAGCUGCAACUGACAUUGAGGCUCGAAAGUGUGGGUAUCAAACAGG